This 301-nucleotide ribosomal RNA is filed under the name uncultured bacterium. RNAcentral describes it as "partial 16S ribosomal RNA". It matches the Rfam family "Bacterial small subunit ribosomal RNA", at positions 509 to 807 of the family's 1533-position model. The record is from RNAcentral.
CAGCAGCCGCGGGAAAACAGAGGGUGCGAGCGUUAAUCGGAUUUACUGGGCGUAAAGCGUGCGUAGGCGGCUUUUUAAGUCGGAUGUGAAAUCCCUGAGCUUAACUUAGGAAUUGCAUUCGAUACUGGGAAGCUAGAGUAUGGGAGAGGAUGGUAGAAUUCCAGGUGUAGCGGUGAAAUGCGUAGAGAUCUGGAGGAAUACCGAUGGCGAAGGCAGCCAUCUGGCCUAAUACCGACGCUGAGGUACGAAAGCAUGGGGAGCAAACAGGAUUAGAGACCCCCGUAGUCCCUGUCUCUUAAAC